AGACUCCAAUGCGAUCUACGAGGUUUGGAUCCGCGUUUGUUCUCUCACUUGCGAUAUCACUGCUGCUUUCGUCCUCUUUGGGAAGCUGCAGCAGUCUGGUCUUCUCGGUCUGUUGGGUUCUAAAUAUCAGCGCCCACGAGAACAGACCAGAUAUCAAUGUAUGGCUGGACAACACUGAGCUGACAGCCAUAGGAAGUCAAGGCAAAUUUGUGUCUCUGUCGGUAACGCCACUCGAUGUACAUGAAUUACGCACCGAAUAUGAAGGAAUCGCACAAGUGUGGAACUUCUCGAUUG
Long non-coding RNA from Conger conger (European conger), 294 nucleotides. RefSeq lists it as uncharacterized. The transcript has 3 exons. NCBI's taxonomy places the organism in Eukaryota, Metazoa, Chordata, Actinopteri, Anguilliformes, Congridae. The record is from RefSeq and is a predicted model, not a curated record.